GACAGAGGGGGGCAAGCGUUGCUCGGAAUCACUGGGCGUAAAGGGCGCGUAGGCGGGAUGGCAAGUCAGUCGUGAAAUCUCUCGGCUCAACCGAGAAACGUCGGCUGAUACUGCCGUUCUUGAGGGAUGCAGAGGAGACUGGAAUUCCCGGUGUAGCGGUGAAAUGUGUAGAGAUCGGGAGGAACACCGGUGGCGAAGGCGGGUCUCUGGGCAUCUCCUGACGCUGAGGCGCGAAAGCGU
Molecule: ribosomal RNA, 240 nt
Filed under: uncultured bacterium
Lineage: Bacteria
Description: partial 16S ribosomal RNA
Rfam family: Bacterial small subunit ribosomal RNA
Source: RNAcentral